GGCGGUUCUUGGGUGACACACCCCAGAAUCGGGCUCCCUCCUCUCUGGUUCCGGGUGCAUCACAGGUGAUGCA
Molecule: non-coding RNA, 73 nt
Organism: Myotis davidii
Lineage: Eukaryota; Metazoa; Chordata; Mammalia; Chiroptera; Vespertilionidae
Source: Rfam